GAAACACCCCUGGGGAAUCAGAGACAGUGCUGAGUGGGGCAUGAAGCCAUACUUAGGAGCCAUGAUAGCCACCUCACUCUACAGUCUGAGACUUGAAAGUGACUCUACAAUGAGAAGGCAUUAGGAGUUUUGAGGACAGAAGGAAUUCACCGCAGAGACCACCAUGUGCAGGAAUUGAUUCAGUGAC
Molecule: long non-coding RNA, 187 nt
Filed under: Fukomys damarensis (Damara mole-rat)
Lineage: Eukaryota; Metazoa; Chordata; Mammalia; Rodentia; Bathyergidae
Description: lncRNA (ENSFDAG00000024082.1)
Source: RNAcentral